This 439-nucleotide ribosomal RNA is filed under the name uncultured marine eukaryote. Its description in RNAcentral is "SSU rRNA". It matches the Rfam family "Eukaryotic small subunit ribosomal RNA", at positions 612 to 1049 of the family's 1831-position model. The record is from RNAcentral.
GUUGCGGUUAAAAAGCUCGUAGUUGGAUCUCGGCGGGCAGGGGGUGGUUCGCUCUUCAGCGCUACUGCCCCGCUUUGCCCGUGUGAUUGGCGGAGGUUUCGGGGUGCUCUUCGUUGAGUGACUCGGAGCGCCGUCAGGUUUACUUUGAAAAAAUUAGAGUGCUCAAAGCAGGCUUUUCACGCUUGAAUAUUCGUGCAUGGAAUAAUGGAAUAGGAACUCGUUUCUAUUUUGUUGGUUUUCGGAAAUCGAGUUAAUGAUUAACAGGGACAAUUGGGGGCAUUAGUAUUCAGACGACAGAGGUGAAAUUCUUGGACCGUCUGAAGACUGACUACUGCGAAAGCAUUUGCCAAGAGUGUUUUCAUUAAUCAAGAACGAAAGUUAGAGGUUCGAAAGGCGAUCAGAUACCGCCCUAGUUCUGACCAUAAACGAUGCCCAGCUA